AUGGAAAGAAGAACUAAGAUUUUCUUUAUGAUGGCAUUGCCACGAUGGUUGAGAGGUGUGCUUUUUUCUUUGACGCAUCUCCAAUACUACCACUCUUUCAUUCCCUCUCAUGUUUCUCAACACUCAAGUUACCAUUCUGUGUUCUGUGUUCUGUACUUUCAACUCCUAACUAGUAGUAUCUGUAACCAAGAUUCAUUUGGCAUGUGUGGGCUUUUGGAUUUUUUGAAAUUCAGCUGCUAUGUAUGCACGGGCCGUUCAGAUUUUGUCUGGAGGUGUUUGGUUCUCAGCUGCAAUUCGUCUUCGUUUGAACUUCUGGCUCUCCGAUCUGAUCUUUGCGCGGAGAUUCGCGCUUGGAGUUGGUUUUUUUCAUGCCGGGUGCGCUCUAGUUUCCGGGCCAGCCCGUUAGCUCGCUGCCUUUUCCACUUCUAUUUUUAA
RNAcentral lists this ribosomal RNA (435 nucleotides) under Triticum aestivum (bread wheat). Its description in RNAcentral is "partial small subunit ribosomal RNA". The record is from RNAcentral. Lineage: Eukaryota; Viridiplantae; Streptophyta; Magnoliopsida; Poales; Poaceae.